This 253-nucleotide ribosomal RNA is filed under the name uncultured bacterium. RNAcentral describes it as "partial 16S ribosomal RNA". It matches the Rfam family "Bacterial small subunit ribosomal RNA", at positions 524 to 776 of the family's 1533-position model. The record is from RNAcentral.
UACAGAGGUCUCGAGCGUUAGGCGGAAUCACUGGGCUUAAAGCGUGUGUAGGUGGAUCGUUAAGUACCUUGUGAAAUCCCACGGCUUAACCGUGGAACUGCUUGGUAUACUGGCGGUCUUGAGCCAGCUAGGGGCUACCGGAACAAAUGGUGGAGCGGUGAAAUGCGUAGAUAUCAUUUGGAACGCCAAUGGUGAAAACAGGUAGCUGGGCCUGAACUGACGCUGAGGAGCGAAAGCCAGGGGAGCAAACGGG